GAUGAACGCUAGCUACAGGCUUAACACAUGCAAGUCGAGAGGAAACGAUAGAGAAAGCUUGCUUUUUCUAGGCGUCGACCGGCGCACGGGUGAGUAACGCGUAUCCAACCUGCCCACCACUUGGGGAUAACCUUGCGAAAGUAAGACUAAUACCCAAUGAUAUCUCUAGAAGACAUCUGAAAGGGAUUAAAGAUUUAUCGGUGAUGGAUGGGGAUGCGUCUGAUUAGCUUGUUGGCGGGGUAACGGCCCACCAAGGCGACGAUCAGUAGGGGUUCUGAGGGGAAGGUCCCCCACACUGGAACUGAGACGCGGUCCAAACUCCUACGGGAGGCAGCAGUGAGGAAUAUUGGUCAAUGGGCGAGAGCCUGAACCAGCCAAGUAGCGUGCAGGAUGACGGCCCUAUGGGUUGUAAACUGCUUUUAUAAGGGAAUAAAGUGAGUCUCGUGAGACUUUUUGCAUGUACCUUAUGAAUAAGGACCGGCUAAUUCCGUGCCAGCAGCCGCCGUAA
Molecule: ribosomal RNA, 508 nt
Filed under: uncultured bacterium
Lineage: Bacteria
Description: partial 16S ribosomal RNA
Rfam family: Bacterial small subunit ribosomal RNA
Source: RNAcentral